CCUACGGGUGGCAGCAGUGAGGAAUAUUGGUCAAUGGGCGCGAGCCUGAACCAGCCAAGUCGCGUGAGGGAAGACGGUCCUAUGGAUUGUAAACCUCUUUUGUCGGGGAGCAAAACACGCUACGCGUGGCGUUCCGCGAGUACCCGAAGAAAAAGCAUCGGCUAACUCCGUGCCAGCAGCCGCGGUAAUACGGAAGAUGCGAGCGUUAUCCGGAUUUAUUGGGUUUAAAGGGUGCGCAGGCGGUCUGUUAAGUCAGCUGUCAAAGGCCCGGGCUCAACCCCGGCCCGGCGGUGAAAACUGGCAGUCUUGAGUUGGAGAGAAGCAGGCGGAAUGCGCGGUGUAGCGGUGAAAUGCUUAGAUAUGGCGAAGAACUCCGAUUGCGAAGGCAGCAUACUGGCGCCGAACUGACGCUGAUGCUCGAAAGCGUGGGUAUCGAACAGGAUUAGAUACCCGGGUAGUC
This 460-nucleotide ribosomal RNA is filed under the name uncultured bacterium. Its description in RNAcentral is "partial 16S ribosomal RNA". It matches the Rfam family "Bacterial small subunit ribosomal RNA", at positions 338 to 795 of the family's 1533-position model. The record is from RNAcentral.